RNAcentral lists this transfer RNA (71 nucleotides) under Marmota monax (woodchuck). RNAcentral describes it as "tRNA.Ala". The record is from RNAcentral. Lineage: Eukaryota; Metazoa; Chordata; Mammalia; Rodentia; Sciuridae.
GGGGUCGUGAGUCAGUGGUAGAGCACUCACCUAGCAUGUGCAAGGGGCUGGGUUCGAUCCUCAGCACCUCG